GCGGUCAUCGAUUAAUGGUAGGUCAGGACAUUGCCAAUGUUCAGGUUGGAGUUCGAUUCUCCAUGGCCGCA
Molecule: non-coding RNA, 71 nt
Organism: Candidatus Nomurabacteria bacterium
Lineage: Bacteria; Candidatus Nomuraibacteriota
Source: Rfam